AAGAAACCAACAGGGAUUGCCCUAGUAACGGCGAGUGAAGCGGCAACAGCUCAAAUUUGAAAUCUGGCUCUCGGGCCCGAGUUGUAAUUUGUAGAGGAUACUUUUGAUGCGGUGCCUUCCGAGUUCCCUGGAACGGGACGCCAUAGAGGGUGAGAGCCCCGUCUGGUUGGAUGCCAAAUCUCUGUAAAGUUCCUUCAACGAGUCGAGUAGUUUGGGAAUGCUGCUCUAAAUGGGAGGUAUAUGUCUUCUAAAGCUAAAUACCGGCCAGAGACCGAUAGCGCACAAGUAGAGUGAUCGAAAGAUGAAAAGCACUUUGAAAAGAGAGUUAAAAAGUACGUGAAAUUGUUGAAAGGGAAGCGUUUAUGACCAGACUUGGGCUUGGUUAAUCAUCUGGGGUUCUCCCCAGUGCACUUUUCCAGUCCAGGCCAGCAUCAGUUUUCCCCGGGGGAUAAAGGCGGCGGGAAUGUGGCUCUCUUCGGGGAGUGUUAUAGCCCACCGUGUAAUACCCUGGGGGGGACUGAGGUUCGCGCAUCUGCAAGGAUGCUGGCGUAAUGGUCAUCA
Molecule: ribosomal RNA, 561 nt
Filed under: Fusarium oxysporum
Lineage: Eukaryota; Fungi; Ascomycota; Sordariomycetes; Hypocreales; Nectriaceae
Description: eukaryotic LSU rRNA
Rfam family: Eukaryotic large subunit ribosomal RNA
Source: RNAcentral